ACUCCUACGGGAGGCAGCAGUGGGGAAUAUUGCACAAUGGGGGAAACCCUGAUGCAGCCAUGCCGCGUGUGUGAAGAAGGCCUUCGGGUUGUAAAGCACUUUCAGUAGGGAGGAAGGUAGUGUAGUUAACACCUGCACUAUUUGACGUUACCUACAGAAGAAGCACCGGCUAACUCCGUGCCAGCAGCCGCGGUAAUACGGAGGGUGCGAGCGUUAAUCGGAAUUACUGGGCGUAAAGCGCAUGCAGGCGGCCUGUUAAGUCAGAUGUGAAAGCCCGGGGCUUAACCUCGGAAUUGCAUUUGAAACUGGCAGGCUAGAGUCUUGUAGAGGGGGGUAGAAUUUCAGGUGUAGCGGUGAAAUGCGUAGAGAUCUGAAGGAAUACCAGUGGCGAAGGCGGCCCCCUGGACAAAGACUGACGCUCAGAUGCGAAAGCGUGGGGGAGCAAACAGGAUUAGAUA
Molecule: ribosomal RNA, 458 nt
Filed under: uncultured bacterium
Lineage: Bacteria
Description: bacterial SSU rRNA
Rfam family: Bacterial small subunit ribosomal RNA
Source: RNAcentral